Molecule: long non-coding RNA, 887 nt
Organism: Dreissena polymorpha
Lineage: Eukaryota; Metazoa; Mollusca; Bivalvia; Myida; Dreissenidae
Exons: 3
Source: RefSeq, a predicted model, not a curated record
UUAACUAUUAAACUAUUUUUGACGAAAAAGCCCGCUCUCUGCGAGUCAGAAAGAACGCCAAAAGCAAACUAGUCGCGUGUGCAACAGCAAAUCGAUGAAUGGUUAAUACAUUUUUAUGUCAGUACAUUUUUACGUACGUCGUUGCCUGUAAGUCACAGAGCACAAUAAUUAUUAACCGAGCUGGGCUUCUUGGAAUUAGCAAUCUAUAUUUUGUUGACUUUACGCAGUAAAUGACUUCUAAGAUUUAUAACGUAUGAAAAUGACUAGUUGACUGCAUCAGAUGACGGAGUGAGUGCGUACGGUCAAGCGAACUUUUAAAUAUCAAACAUACCGCAGUUGUUACUGGCGAUCAUGCCGGUAGCCUAUCGUUCGUACCACUAAAUUACACGAACAAGAUGAAUAAAUAUAACGAUGAACAUAGUAGUCACGAAAGACAGCAGAUAACAUUUAUUGGUACAUUUGAAUGCUCCCUAAAAUAGUUCGCUUAAGAAUUAAUAAUCGCUACUUUCACGUCCGCCAGCCGUGGUUGGUACACGCGCUUCUCACCUCGGCAAGCAUAGACACGAUACCACAGUGUAUAAACCAAGUGUAUCAUCCCAGGAUGUUGCGAUGUGAUUGCCAUGGCGAAAUGAAUAUUUGGCGUACGUGCGUUGCUUGAAAGUAAUAUGGCGGACGAGUCAAUAGAAGUUUGCGGCUUGGACGGUAGUUUUGCUACGGUAAAUUGCACGUCAACCCCUAUGAAAACUAUCUCUGCUGAAACACCACUGGACCUGAGUAAAAACAUGUCCCCCAUCAGCCAAGACAAGUGUCAGUGGUGAUUCCUGUUCACAUUUUGAAAUUCGUAUAGUUUAUGUUUCAUUACUUGGAAUAAUACUUGAAGAUUUUAA